RNAcentral lists this ribosomal RNA (253 nucleotides) under uncultured bacterium. Its description in RNAcentral is "partial 16S ribosomal RNA". It matches the Rfam family "Bacterial small subunit ribosomal RNA", at positions 524 to 776 of the family's 1533-position model. The record is from RNAcentral.
UACGUAGGGGGCAAGCGUUGUCCGGAAUCAUUGGGCGUAAAGAGCGCGUAGGCGGUCCGGUAAGUCAGCUGUGAAAGUCAGGGGCUCAACCCUUGAAAGCCGGUUGAUACUGUCGGGCUAGAGUCCGGAAGAGGCGAGUGGAAUUCCCGGUGUAGCGGUGAAAUGCGCAGAUAUCGGGAGGAACACCAAUGGCGAAGGCAGCUCGCUGGGACGGUACUGACGCUGAGGCGCGAAAGCGUGGGGAGCAAACAGG